UGAGGAAUAUUGGUCAAUGGGAGAGAUCCUGAACCAGCCAAGCCGCGUGAGGGAAGACGGCACUACGUGUUGUAAACCUCUUUUGCCGGGGAACAAAAGCGGGGACGCGUCCCCGUCUGCGUGUACCCGGAGAAAAAGCAUCGGCUAACUCCGUCGCC
RNAcentral lists this ribosomal RNA (158 nucleotides) under uncultured bacterium. RNAcentral describes it as "partial 16S ribosomal RNA". It matches the Rfam family "Bacterial small subunit ribosomal RNA", at positions 355 to 509 of the family's 1533-position model. The record is from RNAcentral.